RNAcentral lists this ribosomal RNA (254 nucleotides) under uncultured bacterium. RNAcentral describes it as "partial 16S ribosomal RNA". It matches the Rfam family "Bacterial small subunit ribosomal RNA", at positions 524 to 776 of the family's 1533-position model. The record is from RNAcentral.
UACGUAGGGUGCGAGCGUUGUCCGGAAUUAUUGGGCAUAAAGAGCUCGUAGGCGGUGUGUCGCGUCGGCCGUGAAAACCUGCAGCUUAACUGUGGGCGUGCGGUCGAUACGGGCAUCACUGGAGUUCGGCAGGGGAGACUGGAAUUCCUGGUGUAGCGGUGGAAUGCGCAGAUAUCAGGAGGAACACCGGUGGCGAAGGCGGGUCUCUGGGCCGAUACUGACGCUGAGGAGCGAAAGCGUGGGGAGCGAACAGG